AGUGAACGCUGGCGGUAGGCCUAACACAUGCAAGUCGAACGGCAGCACAGUAAGAGCUUGCUCUUACGGGUGGCGAGUGGCGGACGGGUGAGGAAUACAUCGGAAUCUACUUUUUCGUGGGGGAUAACGUAGGGAAACUUACGCUAAUACCGCAUACGACCUACGGGUGAAAGCAGGGGAUCUUCGGACCUUGCGCGAUUGAAUGAGCCGAUGUCGGAUUAGCUAGUUGGCGGGGUAAAGGCCCACCAAGGCGACGAUCCGUAGCUGGUCUGAGAGGAUGAUCAGCCAAACUGGAACUGAGACACGGUCCAGACUCCUACGGGAGGCAGCAGUGGGGAAUAUUGGACAAUGGGCGCAAGCCUGAUCCAGCCAUACCGCGUGGGUGAAGAAGGCCUUCGGGUUGUAAAGCCCUUUUGUUGGGAAAGAAAAGCAGCAGGUUAAUACCCCGCUGUUCUGACGGUACCCAAAGAAUAAGCACCGGCUAACUUCGGGC
This 493-nucleotide ribosomal RNA is filed under the name uncultured bacterium. Its description in RNAcentral is "partial 16S ribosomal RNA". It matches the Rfam family "Bacterial small subunit ribosomal RNA", at positions 29 to 508 of the family's 1533-position model. The record is from RNAcentral.